ACACACCGCCCGUCACACCAUGGGAGUCGGUAACGCCCGAAGCCGGUGGGGUAACCUUUUGGAGCCAGCCGUCUAAGGUGGGACAGAUGAUUAGGGUGAAGUCGUAACAAGGUAUC
This 116-nucleotide ribosomal RNA is filed under the name uncultured bacterium. Its description in RNAcentral is "partial 16S ribosomal RNA". It matches the Rfam family "Bacterial small subunit ribosomal RNA", at positions 1385 to 1500 of the family's 1533-position model. The record is from RNAcentral.